Ostrea edulis (European flat oyster) is the source of this 275-nucleotide long non-coding RNA. RefSeq lists it as uncharacterized. NCBI's taxonomy places the organism in Eukaryota, Metazoa, Mollusca, Bivalvia, Ostreida, Ostreidae. The record is from RefSeq and is a predicted model, not a curated record. The transcript has 4 exons.
GGAAUUGUGAACUUUGGAAGCAUUGAAGCAACAACAUUGGAGCAAUACGAUAAAAUCAUGAAUGUUAACGUCAGAGCUAUUUAUCAUCUGACCAUGCUUGCAGUUCCUUAUCUGGUCCAAUCAAAGGGGAACAUUGUCAAUGUAUCGAGUGUUGUAGGCCUUAGAUCAUUUGCUGGGUGUUUACCAUACGCUAUGUCUAAGAGUACCGUAGAUCAGUUUACUAAGUGCACUGCAAUAGAGUUGGCUUCAAAGCAGGUCAGGGUAAACAGUGUAAA